CCUGCCAAGAACCAAGGCCUGGAAUCAGGAAUCCCAUGGGCCUACUACCUGGUGCUCUACCCCACUGUGGUUGAGCUGGUAUCUAAGCUGCAAGACAAAGUCCCUGUUACUCUUCCCUCUGCUUUUCGCAGGCAGAAGCAGUCUCUCCUUUUUGUCAUCACAGCUGUGAAUGUGCUGGGUCACACUGCAGGCCAGCACAUCUGAGAGUCUCACCCAAGGCCCAUGGUGUGUUCUACCUGGUUACCGCUGCUGAUUAUUCAGGGCCCAAAGGCUCUUUAGUCAGCAGGUGGUGAAUCAUGCCAGGCCUGAGUCCUUCUCUUCAAGGCAGUGGGUUCCCUUCUUCCCAGGGUGUGUCUAGAAAUGCUGUCUGGGAGCUAGAUGUGUUAGGACUCUGCCUGGUACCCUAUCUUACUAAGACUGAGCUGGUAUCCAAGUCACAAGACAAAGUUGUCUUUACUGUUUCCUAUUAAUAUUAUCAACUCAAUUCUGGCAACAUAGUGAGACCCAUCUCUACAAAAAUUAAUUGGGCAUGGUGGUGUAUGCCUGUAGUUCUAGCUACUCAGGAGGCUGAGUUGGAAGGAUCACUUGAGCCCAGGAGUUUGAGGCUGCAGUGAUUCAUGAUCAUGCCACUGCACUCCAGCAGCCUGGGCAACAGAGCAAGACACUGUCUCAAAAAAAGGAAAACAAAAGGAAAAAUUAAAAAAAUGUAAAAUAUAUAAAAUUGAAUAUACAAUAACAACAAAACAAAAGACAAGAUAUGGUAAAUGAAGUUAAAGUGUUCUAAAGUACUAGCAUUGUCAGGGAAGUGGUAAAAAAAAAUUUUUAGG
This 827-nucleotide long non-coding RNA is filed under the name Homo sapiens (human). RNAcentral's name for it is "non-protein coding lnc-FGFBP3-3:1". Lineage: Eukaryota; Metazoa; Chordata; Mammalia; Primates; Hominidae. The record is from RNAcentral.